UACGGGGGGGGCAAGCGUUGUUCGGAAUUACUGGGCGUAAAGGGCUCGUAGGUGGCCAACUAAGUCAGACGUGAAAUCCCUCAGCUUAACUGGGGAACUGCGUCUGAUACUGGAUGGCUUGAGUUUGGGAGAGGGAUGCGGAAUUCCAGGUGUAGCGGUGAAAUGCGUAGAUAUCUGGAGGAACACCGGUGGCGAAGGCGGUCUGCUGGGCAGUUGCUGACACUGAUGCGCGACAGCGUGGGGAGCAAACAGG
This 253-nucleotide ribosomal RNA is filed under the name uncultured bacterium. RNAcentral's name for it is "partial 16S ribosomal RNA". It matches the Rfam family "Bacterial small subunit ribosomal RNA", at positions 524 to 776 of the family's 1533-position model. The record is from RNAcentral.